UACGAAGGGGGCUAGCGUUGUUCGGAGUUACUGGGCGUAAAGGGCGCGUAGGCGGCGCACCAAGUCAGGCGUGAAAGCCCUGGGCUCAACCCGGGAAUUGCGCUUGAGACUGGUGUGCUUGAGUACGGGAGAGGAUAGUGGAAUUCCCAGUGUAGAGGUGAAAUUCGUAGAUAUUGGAAGAACACCGGUGGCGAAGGCGGCUAUCUGGACCGUAACUGACGCUGAGGCGCGAAAGCGUGGGAGCAA
Molecule: ribosomal RNA, 246 nt
Filed under: uncultured bacterium
Lineage: Bacteria
Description: partial 16S ribosomal RNA
Rfam family: Bacterial small subunit ribosomal RNA
Source: RNAcentral